RNAcentral lists this ribosomal RNA (1289 nucleotides) under Mycobacterium intracellulare. Its description in RNAcentral is "bacterial SSU rRNA". It matches the Rfam family "Bacterial small subunit ribosomal RNA", at positions 80 to 1370 of the family's 1533-position model. The record is from RNAcentral. Lineage: Bacteria; Bacillati; Actinomycetota; Actinomycetes; Mycobacteriales; Mycobacteriaceae.
UUCGGGGGUACUCGAGUGGCGAACGGGUGAGUAACACGUGGGCAAUCUGCCCUGCACUUCGGGAUAAGCCUGGGAAACUGGGUCUAAUACCGGAUAGGACCUUUAGACGCAUGUCUUUUGGUGGAAAGCUUUUGCGGUGUGGGAUGGGCCCGCGGCCUAUCAGCUUGUUGGUGGGGUGACGGCCUACCAAGGCGACGACGGGUAGCCGGCCUGAGAGGGUGUCCGGCCACACUGGGACUGAGAUACGGCCCAGACUCCUACGGGAGGCAGCAGUGGGGAAUAUUGCACAAUGGGCGCAAGCCUGAUGCAGCGACGCCGCGUGGGGGAUGACGGCCUUCGGGUUGUAAACCUCUUUCACCAUCGACGAAAGUUCGGGUUUUCUCGGAUUGACGGUAGGUGGAGAAGAAGCACCGGCCAACUACGUGCCAGCAGCCGCGGUAAUACGUAGGGUGCGAGCGUUGUCCGGAAUUACUGGGCGUAAAGAGCUCGUAGGUGGUUUGUCGCGUUGUUCGUGAAAUCUCACGGCUUAACUGUGAGCGUGCGGGCGAUACGGGCAGACUAGAGUACUGCAGGGGAGACUGGAAUUCCUGGUGUAGCGGUGGAAUGCGCAGAUAUCAGGAGGAACACCGGUGGCGAAGGCGGGUCUCUGGGCAGUAACUGACGCUGAGGAGCGAAAGCGUGGGGAGCGAACAGGAUUAGAUACCCUGGUAGUCCACGCCGUAAACGGUGGGUACUAGGUGUGGGUUUCCUUCCUUGGGAUCCGUGCCGUAGCUAACGCAUUAAGUACCCCGCCUGGGGAGUACGGCCGCAAGGCUAAAACUCAAAAGAAUUGACGGGGGCCCGCACAAGCGGCGGAGCAUGUGGAUUAAUUCGAUGCAACGCGAGAACCUUACCUGGGUUUGACAUGCACAGGACGCGUCUAGAGAUAGGCGUUCCCUUGUGGCCUGUGUGCAGGUGGUGCAUGGCUGUCGUCAGCUCGUGUCGUGAGAUGUUGGGUUAAGUCCCGCAACGAGCGCAACCCUUGUCUCAUGUUGCCAGCGGGUAAUGCCGGGGACUCGUGAGAGACUGCCGGGGUCAACUCGGAGGAAGGUGGGGAUGACGUCAAGUCAUCAUGCCCCUUAUGUCCAGGGCUUCACACAUGCUACAAUGGCCGGUACAAAGGGCUGCGAUGCCGCAAGGUUAAGCGAAUCCUUUUAAAGCCGGUCUCAGUUCGGAUUGGGGUCUGCAACUCGACCCCAUGAAGUCGGAGUCGCUAGUAAUCGCAGAUCAGCAACGCUGCGGUGAAUACG